RNAcentral lists this transfer RNA (83 nucleotides) under Xylaria grammica. Its description in RNAcentral is "tRNA-OTHER". It matches the Rfam family "tRNA". From Rfam's summary of the family: Transfer RNA (tRNA) molecules are approximately 80 nucleotides in length. Their secondary structure includes four short double-helical elements and three loops (D, anti-codon, and T loops). Lineage: Eukaryota; Fungi; Ascomycota; Sordariomycetes; Xylariales; Xylariaceae. The record is from RNAcentral.
GGGCAUGUGGUGUAUCUGGUAACACACGGGGGAUUCUCAUUAUCUGGUACCCAGAGUAGUCGGUUCGAUUCCGACCGUGUCCA